UAGCUCUUCCCUUGACAAGGAUGGAAGAGGUCCUUGGGCCUAACAACACCCACCUGCUUAAGGCUGCACCAGCCACUUCAGAGGCAGAGGGGCAG
RNAcentral lists this non-coding RNA (95 nucleotides) under Mus pahari (shrew mouse). The record is from RNAcentral. Lineage: Eukaryota; Metazoa; Chordata; Mammalia; Rodentia; Muridae.